GUCGUCAUAAUCCAGUGGUAGGACACCACGUUGUGGCCGUGAGGCAAGGCCGUGGUAGCCCGUGUUCGACCCACGGUGAUGAUA
Lentithecium fluviatile CBS 122367 is the source of this 84-nucleotide non-coding RNA. The record is from the annotation of a GenBank genome assembly. NCBI's taxonomy places the organism in Eukaryota, Fungi, Ascomycota, Dothideomycetes, Pleosporales, Lentitheciaceae.